AUUGAACGCUGGCGGCAGGCCUAACACAUGCAAGUCGAACGGUAGCACAGAGAGCUUACUCUCGGGUGACGAGUGGCGGACGGGUGAGUAAUGUCUGGGAAACUGCCCGAUGGAGGGGGAUAACUACUGGAAACGGUAGCUAAUACCGCAUAACGUCGCAAGACCAAAGUGGGGGACCUUCGGGCCUCACACCAUCGGAUGUGCCCAGAUGGGAUUAGCUAGUAGGUGGGGUAAUGGCUCACCUAGGCGGCGAUCCCUAGCUGGUCUGAGAGGAUGACGAGCCACACUGGAACUGAGACACGGUCCAGACUCCUACGGGAGGCAGCAGUGGGGAAUAUUGCACAAUGGGCGCAAGCCUGAUGCAGCCAUGCCGCGUGUAUGAAGAAGGCCUUCGGGUUGUAAAGUACUUUCAGCGGGGAGGAAGGCGGUGAAGUUAAUAACUUCACCGAUUGACGUUACCCGCAGAAGAAGCACCGGCUAACUCCGUGCCAGCCGCCGCGGUAA
This 504-nucleotide ribosomal RNA is filed under the name uncultured bacterium. RNAcentral describes it as "partial 16S ribosomal RNA". It matches the Rfam family "Bacterial small subunit ribosomal RNA", at positions 30 to 523 of the family's 1533-position model. The record is from RNAcentral.